GAUGAACGCUGGCGGCGUGCCUAAUACAUGCAAGUCGAGCGAACAGAUGAGGAGCUUGCUCCUCUGACGUUAGCGGCGGACGGGUGAGUAACACGUGGAUAACCUACCUAUAAGACUGGGAUAACUUCGGGAAACCGGAGCUAAUACCGGAUAAUAUAUUGAACCGCAUGGUUCAAUAGUGAAAGACGGUUUUGCUGUCACUUAUAGAUGGAUCCGCGCCGCAUUAGCUAGUUGGUAAGGUAACGGCUUACCAAGGCAACGAUGCGUAGCCGACCUGAGAGGGUGAUCGGCCACACUGGAACGGAGACACGGUCCAGACUCCUACGGGAGGCAGCAGUAGGGAAUCGUCCGCAAUGGGCGAAAGCCUGACGGAGCAACGCCGCGUGAGUGAUGAAGGUCUUCGGAUCGUAAAACUCUGUUAUUAGGGAAGAACAAAUGUGUAAGUAACUAUGCACGUCUUGACGGUACCUAAUCAGAAAGCCACGGCUAACUACGUG
Molecule: ribosomal RNA, 497 nt
Filed under: uncultured bacterium
Lineage: Bacteria
Description: partial 16S ribosomal RNA
Rfam family: Bacterial small subunit ribosomal RNA
Source: RNAcentral